AGAGUUUGAUCCUGGCUCAGGAUAAACGCUGGCGGCGUGCGUAACACAUGCAAGUCGAACGCGCAUCUUCGGAUGCGAGUGGCGGACGGGUGAGGAACACGUGGGUAACCUGCCCAGAAGUGGGGGAUACCGCUGGGAAACCAGCGACAAACCCGCAUACGGUUUCAUUUCGCAAGGAAUGGAAAGAAAAUCGUAAGAUG
Molecule: ribosomal RNA, 200 nt
Filed under: uncultured bacterium
Lineage: Bacteria
Description: partial 16S ribosomal RNA
Rfam family: Bacterial small subunit ribosomal RNA
Source: RNAcentral